CGGACGGGUGAGUAACACGUGGGUAACCUGCCUUCAAGAGGGGGAUAACAUUCUGAAAAGAAUGCUAAUACCGCAUGACAUAUCGGAACCACAUGGUUUUGAUAUCAAAGAUUUUAUCGCUUGAAGAUGGACUCGCGUCCGAUUAGUUAGUUGGUGAGGUAACGGCUCACCAAGACCGCGAUCGGUAGCCGGACUGAGAGGUUGAACGGCCACAUUGGGACUGAGACACGGCCCAGACUCCUACGGGAGGCAGCAUG
This 257-nucleotide ribosomal RNA is filed under the name uncultured bacterium. Its description in RNAcentral is "partial 16S ribosomal RNA". It matches the Rfam family "Bacterial small subunit ribosomal RNA", at positions 99 to 353 of the family's 1533-position model. The record is from RNAcentral.